This 488-nucleotide ribosomal RNA is filed under the name uncultured bacterium. Its description in RNAcentral is "bacterial SSU rRNA". It matches the Rfam family "Bacterial small subunit ribosomal RNA", at positions 501 to 987 of the family's 1533-position model. The record is from RNAcentral.
CUACGUGCCAGCAGCCGCGGUAAUACGUAGGGCGCGAGCGUUGUCCGGAAUUAUUGGGCGUAAAGGGCUUGUAGGCGGUUGGUCGCGUCUGCCGUGAAAUUCUCUGGCUUAACUGGGGGCGUGCGGUGGGUACGGGCUGACUUGAGUGCGGUAGGGGAGACUGGAACUCCUGGUGUAGCGGUGGAAUGCGCAGAUAUCAGGAAGAACACCGGUGGCGAAGGCGGGUCUCUGGGCCGUUACUGACGCUGAGGAGCGAAAGCGUGGGGAGCGAACAGGAUUAGAUAUCCUGGUAGUCCACGCUGUAAACGUUGGGCACUAGGUGUGGGGGCCACCCGUGGUUUCUGCGCCGUAGCUAACGCUUUAAGUGCCCCGCCUGGGGAGUACGGCCGCAAGGCUAAAACUCAAAGGAAUUGACGGGGACCCGCACAAGCGGUGGAUGAUGUGGAUUAAUUCGAUGCAACGCGAAGAACCUUACCUGGUCUUGACAU